UAGGGAAUCUUCCGCAAUGGGCGAAAGCCUGACGGAGCAACGCCGCGUGAGUGAAGAAGGAUUUCGGUUCGUAAAGCCCUGUUGUUAGGGAAGAAUGAUUGUGUAGUAACUAUACACAGUAGAGACGGUACCUAACCAGAAAGCCACGGCUAACUACGUGCCAGCAGCCGCGGUAAUACGUAGGUGGCAAGCGUUGUCCGGAAUUAUUGGGCGUAAAGCGCGCGCAGGUGGUUUAAUAAGUCUGAUGUGAAAGCCCACGGCUCAACCGUGGAGGGUCAUUGGAAACUGUUAAACUUGAGUGCAGGAGAGAAAAGUGGAAUUCCUAGUGUAGCGGUGAAAUGCGUAGAGAUUAGGAGGAACACCAGUGGCGAAGGCGGCUUUUUGGCCUGUAACUGACACUGAGGCGCGAAAGCGUGGGGAACAAACAGGAUUAGAUACCCUGGUAGUCCACGCCGUAAACGAUGAGUGCUAAGUGUUGGUCUCAUAAGAGAUCAGUGCUGCAGCUAACGCAUUAAGCACUCCGCCUGGGGAGUACGACCGCAAGGUUG
RNAcentral lists this ribosomal RNA (548 nucleotides) under uncultured bacterium. RNAcentral describes it as "bacterial SSU rRNA". It matches the Rfam family "Bacterial small subunit ribosomal RNA", at positions 355 to 896 of the family's 1533-position model. The record is from RNAcentral.